This 79-nucleotide transfer RNA is filed under the name Desulfobacterales bacterium S7086C20. RNAcentral describes it as "tRNA-Ile". It matches the Rfam family "tRNA". Rfam says of the family: Transfer RNA (tRNA) molecules are approximately 80 nucleotides in length. Their secondary structure includes four short double-helical elements and three loops (D, anti-codon, and T loops). The record is from RNAcentral. Lineage: Bacteria; Pseudomonadati; Thermodesulfobacteriota; Desulfobacteria; Desulfobacterales. RNAcentral also lists the same sequence under 2 other names.
GGGCCUAUAGCUCAGUCUCGGUUAGAGCGCACGCCUGAUAAGCGUGAGGUCGUUGGUUCGAUUCCAACUAGGCCCACCA